UGCAAGUCGAACGGUAACAGGUCGCUGUGAUCCCUUCGGGGUGAACUUGAUGCUGACGAGUGGCGGACGGGUGAGUAAUACUUAGGAAUCUGCCCAGUAGUGGGGGACAACAUUCGGAAACGGAUGCUAAUACCGCAUACGCACUACGGUGGAAAGUGGGGGAUCUUCGGACCUCACGCUAUUGGAUGAGCCUAAGUCGGAUUAGCUUGUUGGUGAGGUAAUGGCUCACCAAGGCGACGAUCUGUAGCUGGUCUGAGAGGACGAUCAGCCACACUGGGACUGAGACACGGCCCAGACUCCUACGGGAGGCAGCAGUGGGGAAUCUUGGUCAAUGGGCGAAAGCCUGAACCAGCGAUGCCGCGUGUGUGAAGAAGGCCCUAGGGUUGUAAAGCACUUUCAGUAGAGAAGAAAAGCUUAAGGUUAAUACCCUUGAGUCUUGACGUAACCUACAGAAGAAGCACCGGCUAACUCCGUG
Molecule: ribosomal RNA, 475 nt
Filed under: uncultured bacterium
Lineage: Bacteria
Description: bacterial SSU rRNA
Rfam family: Bacterial small subunit ribosomal RNA
Source: RNAcentral